AUUGAACGCUGGCGGCAUGCUUUACACAUGCAAGUCGAACGGUAACAGGCCGCAAGGUGCUGGCGAGUGGCGAACGGGCGAGUAAUGCAUCGGAACGUGCCCAGUCGUGGGGGAUAACUACUCGAAAGAGUAGCUAAUACCGCAUACGAUCUAUGGAUGAAAGCGGGGGACCGUAAGGCCUCGCGCGAUUGGAGCGGCCGAUGUCAGAUUAGGUAGUUGGUGGGGUAAAGGCUCACCAAGCCAACGAUCUGUAGCUGGUCUGAGAGGACGACCAGCCACACUGGGACUGAGACACGGCCCAGACUCCUACGGGAGGCAGCAGUGGGGAAUUUUGGACAAUGGGCGCAAGCCUGAUCCAGCAAUGCCGCGUGCAGGAAGAAGGCCUUCGGGUUGUAAACUGCUUUUGUACGGAACGAAACGGCUCUGGUUAAUACCCGGGGCUAAUGACGGUACCGUAAGAAUAAGCACCGGCUAACUACGUG
RNAcentral lists this ribosomal RNA (482 nucleotides) under uncultured bacterium. RNAcentral's name for it is "partial 16S ribosomal RNA". It matches the Rfam family "Bacterial small subunit ribosomal RNA", at positions 30 to 507 of the family's 1533-position model. The record is from RNAcentral.